AGAAUCAACGCUGGCGGCGUGCCUAACACAUGCAAGUCGAACGAGAAAGUGGAGCAAUCCAUGAGUAAAGUGGCGCACGGGUGAGUAACACGUGACUAACCUACCUUUUAGUGGGGGAUAACCUAGGGAAACCUGGGCUAAUACCGCAUAAUACCUACGGGUCAAAGCAGCAAUGCGCUGGAAGAGGGGGUCGCGGCCGAUUAGCUAGUUGGCGGGGUAAUGGCCCACCAAGGCAGUGAUCGGUAUCCGGCCUGAGAGGGCGCACGGACACACUGGAACUGAAACACGGUCCAGACUCCUACGGGAGGCAGCAGUGGGAAUUUGCGCAAUGGGGGGAAACCCUGACGCAGCAACGCCGCGUGGAGGAUGAAGACCCUUGGGUCGUAAACUCCUUUCGAUCGGGACGAUAAUGACGGUACCGGAAGAAGAAGCCCCGGCUAACUUCGUGCCAGCAGCCGC
This 459-nucleotide ribosomal RNA is filed under the name uncultured bacterium. RNAcentral describes it as "SSU rRNA". It matches the Rfam family "Bacterial small subunit ribosomal RNA", at positions 26 to 518 of the family's 1533-position model. The record is from RNAcentral.